GGUUAAGCGACUAAGCGUACACGGUGGAUGCCCUGGCAGUCAGAGGCGAUGAAGGGCGUGCUAAUCUGCGAUAAGCGCCGGUAAGGUGAUAUGAACCGUUAUAACCGGCGAUACCCGAAUGGGGAAACCCAGUGUGAUUCGUCACACUAUCAUUAACUGAAUCCAUAGGUUAAUGAGGCGAACCGGGGGAACUGAAACAUCUAAGUACCCCGAGGAAAAGAAAUCAACCGAGAUUCCCCCAGUAGCGGCGAGCGAACGGGGAGGAGCCCAGAGCCUGAAUCAGCAUGUGUG
RNAcentral lists this ribosomal RNA (291 nucleotides) under Salmonella enterica. RNAcentral describes it as "partial 23S ribosomal RNA". It matches the Rfam family "Bacterial large subunit ribosomal RNA", at positions 1 to 292 of the family's 2925-position model. The record is from RNAcentral. Lineage: Bacteria; Pseudomonadati; Pseudomonadota; Gammaproteobacteria; Enterobacterales; Enterobacteriaceae. RNAcentral also lists the same sequence under 4 other names.